This 451-nucleotide ribosomal RNA is filed under the name uncultured bacterium. RNAcentral describes it as "SSU rRNA". It matches the Rfam family "Bacterial small subunit ribosomal RNA", at positions 26 to 518 of the family's 1533-position model. The record is from RNAcentral.
AGGACGAACGCUGGCGGCGUGCCUAAUGCAUGCAAGUCGCACGCAGGGUGCUUGCACUCUGAGUGGCGCACGGCUGAGGAUCACGUGGGAACAUGCCUCCUUGUGGGGGACAACACCGCGAAAGCGGUGCUAAUCCCGCAUACGCUCGGCAACGAGGAAAGCGGUAACGCGCAGGGAGAGUGGCCCGCGGCCCAUCAGGUCGUUGGUGGGGUAAUGGCCUACCAAGCCGGUGACGGGUAGCUGGUCUGUGAGGACAGACAGCCAGACUGGGACUGAGACACGGCCCAGACUCCUACGGGAGGCAGCAGCAAGGAAUUUUCGCAAUGGGCGCAAGCCUGAACGAGCAACGCCGCGUGGAGGAUGACGGCCUUCGGGUUGUAAACUCCUUUUCGGGGAUGAUAAUGACAGUACCCCGGGAAUAAGGCUCGGCUAACUCUGUGCCAGCAGCCGC